This 453-nucleotide ribosomal RNA is filed under the name uncultured bacterium. RNAcentral's name for it is "bacterial SSU rRNA". It matches the Rfam family "Bacterial small subunit ribosomal RNA", at positions 64 to 524 of the family's 1533-position model. The record is from RNAcentral.
GAACGCGACCGAUGGGGCACUCCUCUUAUUAGAGUGGCGAAUGGGGCAUUAAUGCGUGGACAACCUACCUUGGGGACGGGAGCACUAUGGUAAUACCUGUAAAUUCCCGGCGAUAUGGUGAGACCUCCUGGCCUUGCCAUGAAAUGAAUUUCGCCUCUAGAGGGGUUCACGUGAUAUUAGCUUGUUGGUGAGGUAACGGCUCACCAAUGCGAAGAUGUCUAUCGGGUGUGAGAUCACGACCCGCGCCACUGGCACUGAGACACUGGCCAGACACCUACGGGUGGCUGCAGUCGAGGAUCUUCGGCAAUGGGCGCAAGCCUGAUCGAUCGACUCCGCGUGCGCGAUGAAUGCCUUCGGGUUGUAAAGCGCUGUCGAGGGGGAUGAAAUCCCGCAAUGGUCUGACCUAUCCCUGUAGGAAUCACGGGCUAAGUUCGUGCCAUCAGCCGCGGUAAG